This is a non-coding RNA of Tinamus guttatus (white-throated tinamou), 377 nucleotides long. The record is from RefSeq and is a predicted model, not a curated record. NCBI's taxonomy places the organism in Eukaryota, Metazoa, Chordata, Aves, Tinamiformes, Tinamidae.
CCGUUUCUGUGUGUUGGGUUUCAUUCUUAGGUUCGAUCUGGUGCAAACGUUCUGAUUUGUGGGCCGAAUGGGUGUGGGAAAAGCUCGCUUUUUCGUGUUCUUGGUGAGUUAUGGCCUUUGUUUGGUGGGCGUCUGACUAAACCUGUAAGAGGAAAGUUAUUUUAUGUUCCUCAGAGACCAUAUAUGACUCUUGGAACACUCAGAGAUCAAGUCAUAUAUCCAGAUACUUUAGAAGAUCAACGAAAGAAAGGGAUUUCUGAUCAGGUGCUGAAGGAGUAUUUGGAUAAUGUCCAGCUCGGUCAAAUCUUGGAACGCGAAGGAGGCUGGGAUAGUGUUCAGGACUGGAUGGAUGUUCUCAGCGGGGGAGAGAAACAGAG